CCUACGGGAGGCAGCAGUGGGGAAUAUUGGGCAAUGGGCGCAAGCCUGACCCAGCAACGCCGCGUGAGGGAAGAAGGCCCUCUGGUUGGAAACUUCUUUUAACAGGGACGAAGAACGUGACGGUACCUGUUGAAUAAGCCACGGCUAACUACGGGCCAGCAGCCGCUGGAAUACGUAGGUGGCAAGCGUUAUCCGGAUUUACUGGGUGUAAAGGGCGUGUAGGCGGGAGAGCAAGGCAGACGUGAAAUUCCAGGGCUCAACCCUGGAACUGCGUUUGAAACUGUUCGUCUUGAGUGAUGGAGAGGCAGGCGGAAUUCCGGGUGUAGCGGUGAAAUGCGUAGAUAUACGGAGGAACACCAGUGGCGAAGGCGGCCUGCUGGACAUUAACUGACGCUGAGGCGCGAAAGCGUGGGGAGCAAACAGGAUUAGAUACCCCAGUAGUC
This 443-nucleotide ribosomal RNA is filed under the name uncultured bacterium. Its description in RNAcentral is "partial 16S ribosomal RNA". It matches the Rfam family "Bacterial small subunit ribosomal RNA", at positions 338 to 795 of the family's 1533-position model. The record is from RNAcentral.